This 3997-nucleotide long non-coding RNA is filed under the name Eucalyptus grandis. Its description in RNAcentral is "long non-coding RNA (EGRA_LNC006962)". The record is from RNAcentral. Lineage: Eukaryota; Viridiplantae; Streptophyta; Magnoliopsida; Myrtales; Myrtaceae.
AUACUUUCUCUUUCAAAAACAGAAAACCUCUCUCUCCCCCCUCUCUUCCCACUCUUUUUCUUUCUCCCAAACUGGCCCCUCGCCAGUCCAUCGCUCGUCGGCCUCACGUCGUCGAUCUACCAAUCGCCACCUAGCCCCUCGACGGUCUUCUCCUCAUCCUCAAUCUUCUAGUGACCGGUGCCUCCUCCAGCAGUCGAUUGAUCGGCUUGAGCCAGUCGCUUGUUCUGCGAGUUGAAGAAAAUGGCUACCGAGCCGGUCCAGCGACCUAGAUUGACGGCGUGAGCCACACUGAUCUCUCCCCAACUUCAUACCUAGCCUCACCAUGGUUGGGGAUUAGCAGCUCAACCACCAGAUUAACUCUGCUAGUUUGUUCUAUUCCAACGCAUCCAAGGCCGAUUCAAUUAGGACUAGUUCUAUCCAAGGUGAACUGGCGGUCCAACUGGUCCCUAGCCAAUCCCUAGGCGAUCCGAUCCAUCCCUCAAAGUUCCGAUCACGUUCUGGUGACGUUGAUUUUUUCCGAUCGCGCUUUGUUCUGAAGGAAAACGCAAAAGGUAGAUGUUUUAACCUUGAAUCCGAUAAGGUAAGCAACGUAACCGAUUGGGGCUAGUAUUCAAGUUUAGAUUUGUAUAAUAUGCUUAGAUCUAAGAUUGAUGAUGUGAUUGAAUAAUCUACUGAAGAUUGAUGUUCAUUGAAGAUAAACUUGAGUUUGUUUGAAUGUGGGUAGUGUUAAUAUGCAAUUCCGUACUUCUAUUGUAUGCUUAUUGUUUUGGUUGAGACGAGGUACUAUAUGAACUUUUCUGACCUCGAACCCUUCUAUGUGUAAAAAAUAGACUUCCUGAGCUUCAAUUUGAUAAGUCACGCAUCCUGAAAAAAUGUCAUUUGGUCAUCAAAAAAUACCUCCGAAAUCAGUCGAUUCUGCAGUAGUUAUAGGUAGAUUUGAAGUUCUGACUUUGUUUUGAUUUUCUAUAUUAUUGUUUUCAUACUGAUUUCUAUGAGCAGAAUCUGGAAAAACUUUCUUCACGAGAUUUAUGCAAAAUGGUCAAUGAUGUUCGCAUUAGUUUAGGGGCUUAUCAUGAGCAUACUAAAACCCAUUCAUUAUGGUCUGUUAAAGACCAAACUAUGCAUUAAUGCCUUCUCGACAUUUGAAGUGUGUGUUACGAGUUUCACAUCUAUAUAUGACAUGUCAUAAUUGAACUUUAUUUGGUAUGUAAACAUCAUGCAUCAAUUAGGCUAAUUGCAAUUGAAGUUCAUUGGAUGUGUCAUUCCUAGUUCUAAAUCAUUUUGCAAUAUUGAUGGAUCAUGUGAUUUCUUUGCAUCCCGUCCUAGGGUUAAACGUUUUACCCAAAUCAUUGUUGCAUUCAAUCAUUCGUCGUAUGCAAGUUUCAUACCAUUCAUGUAUUGUUUAAAUGGUCUUUUGAACUAUUAAACAUAUACCAUAUUUUGUUUUGUAAAUGGCUGAUUCACAUACCUUCACGAACAUCAAUUUUUGACCCUCAAUUCAACCUUGAUUGAACUUGGACCCUUCUAGCAAGUUUUAGGACUUAUCUAAAUAUUUUUAAUGCCCCUAAUUUUUGCGCGAUUUGCUUAUCAUUUGACCCCGUUUCCUUUUUUUCCAAGUUAGGUUAGAAAUCUUACUUAGGUUAAAUUCGGAACCCCUGUUUUAUCCCUAUUUAGUCUGACUUUCGUUAUUUUUGUAUAAUUUUUUUAGUUAGAGAUUCUUAAGCCGGACCCUUCACAAACUUUGUUUGUUACUCUUUUGAGUACGUUGUGGUGAAACUUCAUAUUUUUUAGAGCCCAUUUACUAGGUCAAAUCUCUGUUGUUGUGUCAUGUUGUCCUGUUGUUCCGCUGAAUUUCUAAUGCGGUUUUGAACUUCAUUGAAUUUUUAUAAAUGUCUAUGUGGCUUGUUUCAGAAAAAUUCCUUCCCCUCGAUGUCGUGCACAUUGUGUAAUUUUCUUGGAACAAUUUGUCCGUGGGUCCAUUGCCAAUUGCGUUGAUUUUGUUCAUCUGUUCUAUGACGUCUUAUUGUAAAUCUUUGUUGUGAUUUUUUUUUUCAAGAUCCUUUAGGAAAAUUUGCAUGUUGAAAUAGGAUUAAUCACUUUCAUGAAGUUUGUUCCAAGUUUCUCAAUCUUCGUUGUUGGAAAUUUUUUGAAAAAAAAACUAAAAAGGUCUUUUAUCGACACUUUUUUUUUUCCAAAUUUGAAGUGAAAUGUCGAUUUUUCAUGUGGAAAUUAUUUUAAUACAUGUGAUGCUUCCAAUAUCAAUUGUUUAGCAUCUCUUGGAACUUCCGAUUUGAGGUUGAUCCUAUUGAAGCUUGGAUCGUAUUUAAAAUGCCUAUGACAUUUGUUAGCAGUGCAAUAUGCACCGCAGACUAACUUUGGCAAUCAAAUGCACUCCAUAGCCCAAAUGAGAUCAUACCUCACAUUCAACACUUUUUGUCAAAAUAUUUCAUCAUGAUGUUUUAAACACAUUCAAAGCCUCUUGAAGCAUCACAUGUAUCACAAAUGCAUAAUAAUAUUUCAUUUUUUAGAGAUGCCUAUGAUUGUGUUUGGCUCCUAUUGUCUAAAUAAGUGAUCCAAUGCUAGCUUACUAAAAAUCGUUUGAUUGUUUGGGAAAUAAAGCCAGUGGGUCUACCUGCAUGUUUAAUUCCUACUAAUGCCUUUGAAUUUUAUAUGUAUAUUUAGGUAUGAUGUCUAAUCUGUGGGGUAACUUUGGGAUUCAUUUAGAACAUGUCGUAGGGACUUAUAAGCGUUAGUGACCACACGAGAACACAAAUGGUCACCAAUAGCUGUAAAUCAUGAAAAUGGAUUGAGUAGGUGUCUAAAAGGACCAAUGCAUGAUUUGCAAAGGCCAAUCCCGAGACCCAACUUGAUUGACUUUGAAUCCCGUUUCAACUACUUGAUUCUUUUUUUUUGUUUAAUAAUUGUGGUUGUUUUUGGCAUGAGCGGUUGUUUAUUUCCUAUUGUAUCCUAUUGUAUGUACCUUGUCUUAGUUUCUUUAGAUUAGGAUUAAUAUAGGUCCUUGGAGGUGGAGGUCCCUCAAGACUUGAGGACAAUGGGAGGUCGAUAUGCAUUCCAACCUAGUUUUGUAUUCAUUUUUACCCGAUAUAUGUUUCGAGUCAUUUUGCAUUGUGUAAACACCUGAUGAAGUACGGGUUUUAUUCUGUCCGCUUUAUUUUUGCCUAUCACCUAGGGUUGCAUGUUAGAUUUAUUUCUUUCCCUAUAACAAUUCACUUGAUUGUUUGCUUUCUCUCUCAUCUUUAAAUUUCAAUUGUUUGCUUUCUUUUUUCUUUCUUACAAAUAGAAAUUGCAUGAAAAUAGCCAUCCAUGCAUGGUCACUUAGGUAGUUUUAACGACCCAAAAAAGUAAAAGGAAAUGUUUGGACACCUUAGGAAAUAUGACAAACUAUUACGUAUUGAAAGGGUGCUCAUAGAAAUAUUAGCAUAACCUGAGUCCUCAAAUCUAAAAUCUCUAGUUGCAUAAGAAUCGAGGGACCACUUUCAACCCUCAAUUGGGAUUUUUAGCCGACCACAAAAACAAGGCUAGUGGUGACUCCCGUUCUUCUUAGGUUGUUUUAAAUAACUAAAUAAUAAAAUUAACCCAUUGCAAAGGGUAAGUGACACAGAGAAAGUUACGCUUGGAAAGAAUUCCAAAAGAUAGUUUUUAUUUUGAAUCAAGAAGUGCGGAUUACAAUAUCUUAGGCCCCUAUUUAUAAGGAGGUCAACAUCUAGAAAAUAACCAAAUCAGUGAAAUCUAAUAACAAAAUUAAAAAGAUAUCGAUAAACCAAAAUAUCUGAAAUCUAAUAACAAAUUAAGGAAAAUGCAUGAAUCAAAUAUUGUAACCCAUUUGUAAUCUUGAAGAUCACGCAAUACUCUUUGAUUUGUGGAACCGCCUGCUAUUAUGACACUCCAAUGUUUCCAUAUAAGCAUUUGCAUGUCGUCCUACAUCAAUCUCCUCCACUUUAGAAGAACUCGACCCCGAGUUAUGAUUAGGAUAAAC